UUACGCCAGCAUCCUAGCCGAAGCGCGGACCUCGCCCGAGCGGCGCCGUAUUGUGCGGUGGGCUAUAACACCCCGAGGGGCCACAUUCCCACCGCCUUUGUCCGGCGCGCCCAGACGAUGCUGGCCUGCCGGCGGCGAGUAGACCGGGCAGAAGCCCGGCGGAACACCGCCGACAAGUCUGGUUGCAUGCGCUUCCCUUUCAACAAUUUCACGUGCUUUUUAACUCUCUUUCCAAAGUGCUUUUCAUCUUUCGAUCACUCUACUUGUGCGCUAUCGGUCUCUGGCCGGUAUUUAGCUUUAGAUGACAUUUACCACCCAUUUAGAGCUGCAUUCCCAAACAACUCGACUCGUCGAAGGAGCUACGUGACGGGUGCCAACCGGUCGCAUACGGGAUUCUCACCCUCUAUGACGUCCUGUUCCAAGGAACUUAGACCGGCCGCUGCCCAGAAGCAUCCUCUACAAAUUACAACUCGGGCUUGCGCCAGAUUUCAAAUUUGAGCUGUUGCCGCUUCACUCGCCGUUACUAGGGCAAUCCCU
Molecule: unclassified non-coding RNA, 537 nt
Filed under: Teratosphaeria sp. JY128
Lineage: Eukaryota; Fungi; Ascomycota; Dothideomycetes; Mycosphaerellales; Teratosphaeriaceae
Description: sequence contains 28S rRNA gene
Source: RNAcentral